Molecule: ribosomal RNA, 251 nt
Filed under: uncultured prokaryote
Description: partial 16S ribosomal RNA
Rfam family: Bacterial small subunit ribosomal RNA
Source: RNAcentral
ACGGAGGGUGCAAGCGUUAAUCGGAAUUACUGGGCGUAAAGCGCACGUAGGCUGUGGUGUAAGACAGAGGUGAAAUCCCCCGGCUCAACCUGGGAACUGCCUUUGAUACUGCAUAACUUGAAUCCGGGAGAGGGUGGCGGAAUUCCAGGUGUAGGAGUGAAAUCCGUAGAUAUGCGGAGGAACAUCAGUGGCGAAGGCAGCCUCCUGGACCGGUAUUGACGCUGAGGUGCGAAAGCGUGGGGAGCAAACAG